This 87-nucleotide transfer RNA is filed under the name Helianthus annuus (common sunflower). Its description in RNAcentral is "tRNA-Tyr". It matches the Rfam family "tRNA". From Rfam's summary of the family: Transfer RNA (tRNA) molecules are approximately 80 nucleotides in length. Their secondary structure includes four short double-helical elements and three loops (D, anti-codon, and T loops). The record is from RNAcentral. Lineage: Eukaryota; Viridiplantae; Streptophyta; Magnoliopsida; Asterales; Asteraceae.
UGGGUCGAUGCUCGAGUGGUUAAUGGAGACUGAUUGUAAAUUCGUUGAUAAUAUGUCUACGCUGGUUCAAAUCCAGCUUGGUCCAAC